ACAGCUACCGACUCUUGCACGUCCCGGCGGGUGUUGUUUAGCUCUUCACUCCCAAACGCCGUGAACUGGCCUCACCGCCGAUAAUCCUCGCCGGAAAAAUAGGGCACCUGUCCAAGAAAACAGAACACACCCACACACACCCACAAAAAGAAGAAGAGAGAAUAGGAGGAAAAUAGCAGGAGUCGCCAGAAAAAUCGUCGGCGAAAAGCAAGAAUUCAAAAAAUCUAGAAAACUCAAAACAAAACAAGCUUCAGAUAGCCAAAUAAAGGCUAAAUCGGACAGACUUGUGCAGUAUAGUAGCAGGUUAAAGUUUGCGUCGAAGUUAUUUUCUUAUAAGAACAGGAAAAGCUUAUUAAUGGAAGAGCUAAAGCAGAUUGGGGGAGGACUAUAAAAACCAAAGCAGUCAAAAAAAAUAAAUCUGCGUUGAUCAGAAAAACUAGAACUGUAACAGCAAAGAAAAGAAGAAUUAAAAGAAAAUGAACUUACGGAUGAGAAUAAAGAGCAGAAAAGUGAAUAUAGAAA
RNAcentral lists this long non-coding RNA (522 nucleotides) under Nicotiana benthamiana. RNAcentral's name for it is "long non-coding RNA (NBEN_LNC025673)". Lineage: Eukaryota; Viridiplantae; Streptophyta; Magnoliopsida; Solanales; Solanaceae. The record is from RNAcentral.